GUCGAUAUGACAGUCCUAGUGGUUAAGGAGACAGACUCCAAAUCUGUUGGGCUUUGCCUGCGCAAAUUCGAAUCAUGCUGUCGACC
Molecule: transfer RNA, 86 nt
Filed under: Macleaya cordata
Lineage: Eukaryota; Viridiplantae; Streptophyta; Magnoliopsida; Ranunculales; Papaveraceae
Rfam family: tRNA
About the family: Transfer RNA (tRNA) molecules are approximately 80 nucleotides in length. Their secondary structure includes four short double-helical elements and three loops (D, anti-codon, and T loops).
Source: Rfam by way of RNAcentral